AAGACUUGCCAGGGGCGCAAAAUGCUGAGAAAGGUGAAAACCUUGUCCCUUAUAAUCUGAACUAGGUAAUGCUAGCGUAGAGAGUGCAAAAUAGUUUAUUU
This 101-nucleotide non-coding RNA is filed under the name Coprobacillus sp. RNAcentral's name for it is "TPP sequence". It matches the Rfam family "TPP riboswitch aptamer (THI element)". From Rfam's summary of the family: Vitamin B(1) in its active form thiamin pyrophosphate (TPP) is an essential coenzyme that is synthesised by coupling of pyrimidine and thiazole moieties in bacteria. The previously detected thiamin-regulatory element, thi box was extended, resulting in a new, highly conserved RNA secondary structure, the THI element, which is widely distributed in eubacteria and also occurs in some archaea. The record is from RNAcentral. Lineage: Bacteria; Bacillati; Bacillota; Erysipelotrichia; Erysipelotrichales; Coprobacillaceae.